UACGUAGGGGGCUAGCGUUGUCCGGAAUCAUUGGGCGUAAAGCGCGUGUAGGCGGUUCGGUAAGUCCGCUGUGAAAGUCGGGGGCUCAACCCUCGGAUGCCGGUGGAUACUGUCGGACUAGAGUACGGAAGAGGCGAGUGGAAUUCCUGGUGUAGCGGUGAAAUGCGCAGAUAUCAGGAGGAACACCAAUUGCGAAGGCAGCUCGCUGGGACGUUACUGACGCUGAGACGCGAAAGCGUGGGGAGCAAACAGG
This 253-nucleotide ribosomal RNA is filed under the name uncultured bacterium. RNAcentral describes it as "partial 16S ribosomal RNA". It matches the Rfam family "Bacterial small subunit ribosomal RNA", at positions 524 to 776 of the family's 1533-position model. The record is from RNAcentral.